RNAcentral lists this ribosomal RNA (164 nucleotides) under uncultured bacterium. Its description in RNAcentral is "partial 16S ribosomal RNA". It matches the Rfam family "Bacterial small subunit ribosomal RNA", at positions 355 to 511 of the family's 1533-position model. The record is from RNAcentral.
UAAGGAAUCUUCCACAAUGGGCGCAAGCCUGAUGGAGCAACACCGCGUGAGUGAAGAAGGGUUUCGGCUCGUAAAGCUCUGUUGUUAAAGAAGAACACGUAUGAGAGUAACUGUUCAUACGUUGACGGUAUUUAACCAGAAAGUCACGGCUAACUACGUGCCAU